UAAAAGCAAACCGCCUGAAAGGGCGGGACGCAAAGCCAGGGGGCUAAGGCGGAAACGCUAAGCCGGCCCAGCCGCCA
This 77-nucleotide non-coding RNA is filed under the name human gut metagenome. RNAcentral's name for it is "Cyclic di-GMP-I riboswitch". It matches the Rfam family "c-di-GMP-I riboswitch aptamer". Rfam says of the family: GEMM was predicted in a large-scale screen for bacterial structured RNA regulatory elements. Genes associated with GEMM are involved in a diverse array of functions, including chemotaxis regulation, signal transduction, secretion and chitin. The record is from RNAcentral.